CAGUCGCCGCGGGAAUACGAAGGGGGCUAGCGUUGUUCGGAUUUACUGGGCGUAAAGGGCGCGUAGGCGGGCGAAUAAGUCAGGGGUGAAAUCCCAAGGCUCAACCUUGGAACUGCCUUUGAUACUGUUUGUCUUGAGUUCGAGAGAGGUAAGUGGAACUGCGAGUGUAGAGGUGAAAUUCGUAGAUAUUCGCAAGAACACCAGUGGCGAAGGCGGCUUACUGGCUCGAAACUGACGCUGAGGCGCGAAAGCGUGGGGAGCAAACAGGAUUAGAUACCCCCGUAGUCCCUGUCUCUUAUAC
RNAcentral lists this ribosomal RNA (301 nucleotides) under uncultured bacterium. Its description in RNAcentral is "partial 16S ribosomal RNA". It matches the Rfam family "Bacterial small subunit ribosomal RNA", at positions 509 to 807 of the family's 1533-position model. The record is from RNAcentral.